CCCCCGCCCCGCGGCCCAGGGCGGCGGCCGGUACCUGUAGGCCAGGGACAUGCACUCGAAGAGCUUCGUGAGGGAGGCGUCGAUGCUGAGGCGGCCCCCGGCGCCGCCGCCGCCGCGGGCCGCCCCGAACUGAAGAAGCCUGCAACUACAGAGAAAGGGUCAGGACAGGGGUUGUACUGCCAGCCUGCUGCUCACACCUACCCCAGGUACCUGCUCGUACGUGCAUAAAGGCUGCACGGUUGAUCCAGGGACAGCAAAGAUCAGAUUUCACCCUGCUUAAAAAGCGUAAAGGAAGCAAUGGAUCCUGUAAGUCACCAAGCAAGCACAGCGACAGUAGACGUAUUAGCCUGGGGAGAGAAGAGCAGCUUACAGCACAAGAGCCCAUAUACAUAUGUAUGGGUGAACAAAGAGGAAAGAUCUCUAGCUCGCCCUGUAAAGCAAACCUCCAUCACCAGCAGAGCACCUGCGUUCUAGCAAUCUGCAGCGCAAGGUGAAACACAGGCCACCAUCUUCUGAUGAUGUUCCUUCAACAGCACAGGCUUUUAGCACAGGAGGAGACAGCUAUUUACCUGCUCAGAAUUCAGCUGUAACACACUGAACAGAGUCAAGCUGUUUAAAAAUACACCCGCAGUGUACUCCACAACACUUAGUGGUAAGAGAUUACCCUCCUAGAUCUACAGACGGGAAGAUAAGCAUUCCCAUUCUGAUGAGGCACAAGAGCUGAAGGGAUCUUACUCACAGCCUGGCUGUGGAGCUGAUUGCAGGCACUGGAGUCCAGCCAUCCCUCACCACCCCACUGGCUCCUCUGCCCUUCCUGCUCCUGGGCAAACCACAGGGCCAACCUCCAGAGCCAUGCCCUGCUCUGAGGCUACGCUCUUGCUUGCUCCUUCACCCUUUACCAGCACAAGCCUUACCUGUUCAGAGGCCUUUACUUCUGGGACCCAUCUUCAAUUACAUCCUUGUUUCUAACCUGUUCUUUUCUCUCUCUCCAGUUCGCCCUAUAUACAAUUCCUUUAUAUAAGCCUGCUGAUUUAAUCUACUAAUCCAGAGAAGAAAAAAAAAACACCUAAAAUGAGCACUUUUCUCCUCACGUUAACAAAUUCAAGUGGUAGAGGAGAGGAUGCUAUGAGCACCCAGUGAAUGCAAGGGAGGCAACAAAACCAAGCUGGGAGCAGGCAAGCUGGCUGUGGCUUACUCUUCUGGCAGGGGUGAGCCAGCAUCCCAGUUCAGCUGUCUGUGAAACCACAGGCUGCUUUGGGACAGAGCACAUCAAACACUAAAAAUAAGCUGGAUAUUUAUAUCCCUCUUGAACGUAAAGAAUCUUUCCAAAACUCUCCAGGAGUUUUACCCUUGCCAGCAUCAGACUUUGGAGCAUGUUUCCAAACUGAAGCACGUUUCCACACCGUGCUCUCCUCCCUCCAAUUUCAGUUACCACCACAAGUUAGCACCUUAAAUGAUCAAGUUAUCCUGCAGGUUGCUGUAAUUACAUUGGCCAAAUUUAUUUGCUACAACAAACUAUCUCCACCCCUCUCAGGUCUGUGGCCUACUCAAAGGUGAAUCACUUCACAUUACCAAAUGAGACCCCACCACAGAAUGCACAUUUAAAAAUACAACUUUGAAAACCAGACAUUUAUUGUGAAUUUAAAAAGAAAACCCAAACUGAGCUUCAGUUUCUUGAUAAAAAUUCUUCACACAGUUGUUCAUGUGAUUUUUUUAUUUUAUUUCUGAAAUGAAACCAUUGUACAUUGUACAAACCAUAACUACCGAUGGAAUAAAUAAGUGAAAAAUUAUACUGCUGUACAACACACACACACACAAAUCAUAAGAUGGAAAACGAUUAGGUAUUGAAGAAAACAAAAUUCUUUACACCUUCUAACAGGCCCUUAGAUAGAAAGAACAUUCCAAAACAUGACAAUGUUUGAUGUAUGAAGAGAGCCACCCAAAACCAGUAUUUCAG
This is a long non-coding RNA of Neopsephotus bourkii (Bourke's parrot), 1957 nucleotides long. RefSeq lists it as uncharacterized. The transcript has 3 exons. Lineage: Eukaryota; Metazoa; Chordata; Aves; Psittaciformes; Psittacidae. The record is from RefSeq and is a predicted model, not a curated record.